UAUAUGGAGCUUCAGCAAAAAACACCCUAAAAACGGCAGACUAUUGUGCACAUGUUGGUGCAGAUUUGCGAUUGAAAGAAGCAAUUUAUCGAGAAAUUGAAGUACCAAUAGAAACUCUAUAUCGGUCACCUUCUUUCCACGCUCUUAAUCCAAGGAAUUCCUUGCCAUUCUCAAAUUUAUUUCAAAUAUCACUGCUGUCUCACAGCCGCAUUUAGUUGGUAUAAAGGAAUCUACACAGCCAAGCCCAGACAGGAAUACACUGGAGGCUGGUACAGUUGGCAAUAUAGCUCAAGCAAGGCCUUCUGUUACAGAGGAAAGUGCUGUACAGUGGGCUAAAAAUGAUAAGAGAAGAUUACUUCAUGCUGUUUAUAGCGUUAGAGAUUUAGAUAAGACUAUAAAAUUCUAUACGGAGUGCCUUGGCAUGAAGGUAUUGCGGAAAAGAGACAUCCCAGAGGAGAGAUUUUCAAAUACCUUUCUUGGUUUUGGACCCGAAGAGUCACAUUUUACGAUUGAACUUUCAU
Molecule: long non-coding RNA, 521 nt
Organism: Spinacia oleracea (spinach)
Lineage: Eukaryota; Viridiplantae; Streptophyta; Magnoliopsida; Caryophyllales; Amaranthaceae
Exons: 3
Source: RefSeq, a predicted model, not a curated record